Molecule: ribosomal RNA, 499 nt
Filed under: uncultured bacterium
Lineage: Bacteria
Description: partial 16S ribosomal RNA
Rfam family: Bacterial small subunit ribosomal RNA
Source: RNAcentral
GACGAACGCUGGCGGCGUGCCUAAUACAUGCAAGUCGAGCGAAGUUUUUCUGGUGCUUGCACCGGAAAAACUUAGCGGCGAACGGGUGAGUAACACAUAAAGAACCUGCCUCAUAGACUGGGACAACUAUUGGAAACGAUAGCUAAUACCGGAUAACAGCAUUAACUGCAUGGUUGAUGUUUAAAAGUUGGUUUUGCUAACACUAUGAGAUGGCUUUGCGGUGCAUUAGCUAGUUGGUGGGGUAAAGGCCUACCAAGGCGACGAUGCAUAGCCGACCCGAGAGGGUGAUCGGCCACACUGGGACUGAGACACGGCCCAGACUCCUACGGGAGGCAGCAGUAGGGAAUCUUCCGCAAUGGGCGAAAGCCUGACGGAGCAACGCCGCGUGAGUGAAGAAGGAUUUCGGUUCGUAAAGCUCUGUUGUUAGGGAAGAAUGAUUGUGUAGUAACUAUACACAGUAGAGACGGUACCUAACCAGAAAGCCACGGCUAACUACGUG